GGAAAAGAAACCAACAGGGAUUGCCUCAGUAACGGCGAGUGAAGCGGCAAGAGCUCAAAUUUGAAAUCUGGAGCCUUUCAGCUUCCGAGUUGUAAUUUGAAGAGGGUGUUUCGGUUGCGGCCCUGGCCUAAGUUCCUUGGAACAGGACGUCAUGGAGGGUGAGAAUCCCGUACAUGGCUGAGGGCUUGCUUCUAUGUGAAACCCCUUCGAAGAGUCGAGUUGUUUGGGAAUGCAGCUCAAAAUGGGUGGUAAAUUUCAUCUAAAGCUAAAUAUUGGCGGGAGACCGAUAGCGCACAAGUAGAGUGAUCGAAAGAUGAAAAGCACUUUGAAAAGAGAGUUAAACAGUACGUGAAAUUGUUGAAAGGGAAGCGCUUGCAAUCAGACUCGCUUUCGGUUGAUCAACGUUCCUUUUGGUUCGUGCACUCUGCCGUUUGCGGGCCAGCAUCAGUUGGGGCGGUGGGACAAAGGCGGUGGGAAUGUGGCUCCCCUCGGGGAGUGUUAUAGCCCAUCGUGCCAUGCCACCAGUCCCGACUGAGGUCCGCGGUUCGCCUAGGAUGCUGGCUUAAUGGUUGUAAGCGACCCGUCUUGAAACACGGACCAAGGAGUCUAACAUCUACGCGAGUCUUUGGGUGUCAAACCCAUGGGCGCAAUGAAAGUGAACGGAGGUGGGAGUCCUCGGACGCACCAUCGACCGAUCCUGAUGUUCUCGGAUGGAUUUGAGUAUGAGCGUAGCUGUUGGGACCCGAAAGAUGGUGAACUAUGCCUGAAUAGGGUGAAGCCAGAGGAAACUCUGGUGGAGGCUCGCAGCGGUUCUGACGUGCAAAUCGAUCGUCAAAUUUGGGUAUAGGGGCGAAAGACUAAUCGAACCAUCUAGUAGCUGGUUCCU
Molecule: ribosomal RNA, 886 nt
Filed under: Dactylellina haptotyla
Lineage: Eukaryota; Fungi; Ascomycota; Orbiliomycetes; Orbiliales; Orbiliaceae
Description: eukaryotic LSU rRNA
Rfam family: Eukaryotic large subunit ribosomal RNA
Source: RNAcentral